RNAcentral lists this ribosomal RNA (297 nucleotides) under Pseudomonas aeruginosa. RNAcentral's name for it is "partial 16S ribosomal RNA". It matches the Rfam family "Bacterial small subunit ribosomal RNA", at positions 390 to 679 of the family's 1533-position model. Lineage: Bacteria; Pseudomonadati; Pseudomonadota; Gammaproteobacteria; Pseudomonadales; Pseudomonadaceae. The record is from RNAcentral.
AGCCAUGCCGCGUGUGUGAAGAAGGUCUUCGGAUUGUAAAGCACUUUAAGUUGGGAGGAAGGGCAGUAAGUUAAUACCUUGCUGUUUUGACGUUACCAACAGAAUAAGCACCGGCUAACUUCGUGCCAGCAGCCGCGGUAAUACGAAGGGUGCAAGCGUUAAUCGGAAUUACUGGGCGUAAAGCGCGCGUAGGUGGUUCAGCAAGUUGGAUGUGAAAUCCCCGGGCUCAACCUGGGAACUGCAUCCAAAACUACUGAGCUAGAGUACGGUAGAGGGUGGUGGAAUUUCCUGUGUAGC